AUGGCGGCUUCCUGCACGCUCACCGUCCCCGCCCCCUUCGCCGCCGCCUCCUCCUCCUCCUCCACUUCAGCCCGUCGGUACAGGCGAUUCGGGGUGGUUGCCAUGGCUAGCGUGGGGCAGAAGGUGUACGCGCCCGGCGUGGCCGUCUCCGACGGCAACGGCGGCCUGCCCAAGAUCAGCCUCAAAUCCCCGCACGGGAGUGAGGCUGAGAUUUAUCUAUUUGGAGCAUGUGUCACAUCUUGGAAGGUUCCCAGUGGAAAGGACCUGCUCUUUGUCAGACCAGAUGCCGUGUUCAAUGGCCAGAAACCCAUCAGCGGUGGAAUUCCACAUUGUUUCCCCCAGUUUGGCCCCGGUCCCAUGCAGCAGCAUGGAUUUGCCAGGAAUGUGAAUUGGUCUAUUACUGAUUCAGAAGUCACAGAAGGAGAUCCAACUGUAACUUUGGAACUAAAAGACGACUCGUACAGCCGUUCAAUGUGGGAUUUUAGUUUCCAAGCUUUAUACAAGGUUGUGCUGCACUCUACAAGCCUGUCAACGACCCUGAAAAUAAUAAAUACAGACGAUAAACCUUUCUCGUUCAACUCAGCCCUCCACACUUAUUUCAGUGCUUCCAUCGCUGGUGUUUCAGUGAAAGGUCUCAAAGGUAGCAAGACUCUCAAUAAGGAUCCUGAUCCUAAAAAUCCUCUGGAGGGCAAAGAAGAAAGGGACGAGGUGACCUUUCCAGGAUUUGUGGACUGUGUUUACCUUGGCGCACCGACUGAGCUUACACUGGACAAUGGAUUGGGUGACAAAAUUGUAAUCUCAAACACAAACUGGUCAGAUGCAGUGUUGUGGAAUCCUCAUUUGCAGAUGGAGGCAUGCUACAAAGACUUUGUUUGUGUUGAAAAUGCAAAGAUUGAAACAGUACAACUGGGUCCAAAAGAAUCUUGGGUGGCAGAGCAGAAAAUUGAACUUGUCUGA
RNAcentral lists this ribosomal RNA (957 nucleotides) under Triticum aestivum (bread wheat). RNAcentral describes it as "partial small subunit ribosomal RNA". Lineage: Eukaryota; Viridiplantae; Streptophyta; Magnoliopsida; Poales; Poaceae. The record is from RNAcentral.